CCUACGGGGGGCAGCAGUGAGGAAUAUUGGUCAAUGGGCGUGAGCCUGAACCAGCCAAGUAGCGUGAAGGAUGAAUGCCCUACGGGUUGUAAACCUCUUUUAUAAAGGAAUAAAGUGAGGCACGUGUCCCUUUUUGUAUGUACUUUAUGAAUAAGGAUCGGCUAACUCCGUGCCAGCAGCCGCGGUAAUACGGAGGAUCCGAGCGUUAUCCGGCUUUAUUGGGUUUAAAGGGAGCGUAGGUGGGUUGUUAAGUCAGCUGUGAAAGUUUGCGGCUCAACCGUAGAAUUGCCGUUGAUACUGGGAGGCUUGAGUAGGUUUGAGGUAGGCGGAAUGCGUGGUGUAGCGGUGAAAUGCUUAGAUAUCACGAAGAACCCCGAUUGCGAAGGCAGCUUGCCAAGCUAUGACUGACGCUGAUGCACGAAAGCGUGGGGAUCAAACAGGAUUAGAUACCCCGGUAGUC
Molecule: ribosomal RNA, 460 nt
Filed under: uncultured bacterium
Lineage: Bacteria
Description: partial 16S ribosomal RNA
Rfam family: Bacterial small subunit ribosomal RNA
Source: RNAcentral